RNAcentral lists this ribosomal RNA (700 nucleotides) under uncultured bacterium. Its description in RNAcentral is "bacterial SSU rRNA". It matches the Rfam family "Bacterial small subunit ribosomal RNA", at positions 8 to 686 of the family's 1533-position model. The record is from RNAcentral.
AGAGUUUGAUCAUGGCUCAGAAUCAACGCUGGCGGCGUGCCUCAGACAUGCAAGUCGAACGCGAAAGCCCCCUUCGGGGGGCAAGUAGAGUGGCGCACGGGUGAGUAACACGUAGGUAAUCUACCUUUGGAUGGGGAAUAACAACCGGAAACGGUUGCUAAUACCGCAUAAUGCAGCGGCACCUAAUGGUGACAGUUGUUAAAGCGGGGGAUCGCAAGACCUCGCGUCUGAAGAGGAGCCUGCGGCGGAUUAGCUAGUUGGUAAGGUAACGGCUUACCAAGGCUGUGAUCCGUAGCCGGCCUGAGAGGGCGGUCGGCCACACUGACACUGACAUACGGGUCAGACUCCUACGGGAGGCAGCAGUCGGGAAUUUUGGGCAAUGGGCGAAAGCCUGACCCAGCAACGCCGCGUGAAGGAUGAAAUCCUUCGGGAUGUAAACUUCGCAAGAACAGGAAGAAUAAGUAAGAGUUAAUAUCUCUUACGAUGACGGUACUGUUUGUAAGCUCCGGCUAACUCCGUGCCAGCAGCCGCGGUAAUACGGGGGGAGCAAGCGUUGUUCGGAUUUACUGGGCGUAAAGGGCGCGUAGGCGGCCACCGCAAGUCGACUGUGAAAUCUCCGGGCUUAACCCGGAAAGGUCAGCCGAUACUGCGGGGCUAGAGUGCAGAAGGGGCAACUGGAAUUCUCGGUGUAGCGGUGAAA